AUUCUGUGAAUUUUAGAUUAUCGGUUUAUUCCUGAUGUUAUACAUACUAUAUUAGAUAGAUUUAUAUGUAUGAUUCAAAAUGAUGAAUGGGAUUUAGAUAAAUGCUCUGUAGAGUAUUUUAACCUCAUGAAAAUAUCAGAUAUAUUCAAAACCGAAAAGUUAAAAAAAUUAAAAGCAGUUAUUAAAAAAUGUCUUGGUGAACUUUACUGUGAUCUACGUCCUUCUGAGUUUCAGGAUGUUCAGUCGACGAAUUGUUGCACAAAAUGUUGCUAAAUUUUAUAAAAAUUCAAAUAAAUCACAUUUUUAAUUUGAAAAUAUAUUAAUAAUGUUAUUAAAAAGCAUAUAGUUUGUUAUUACACAAAUACUGUUAAAAUAAAAAUUUCUAUAUGAGCGAAAUGUUUUCAUAAUAAAAAUAAAUAUUAAAAUUA
This is a long non-coding RNA of Daktulosphaira vitifoliae (grape phylloxera), 428 nucleotides long. RefSeq lists it as uncharacterized. The record is from RefSeq and is a predicted model, not a curated record. NCBI's taxonomy places the organism in Eukaryota, Metazoa, Arthropoda, Insecta, Hemiptera, Phylloxeridae. The transcript is spliced from 2 exons.